AAAAUUGAUAGAGGUUGCGGAAGCGAUCAGUAGCUCUCGUCAUACGCCGGCAAGCGGACGAAAGCGAAAGGCAAUUCCGCCGAAACUGCAAUUCGAUUGCCGUCGGUUUGCUGUUGGGGCCGCAUUUAAGAGAUGCGGUACUGUCACGCAGAUAUGCGUGGAGGGCUAUCAACGGU
Clostridium sp. CAG:413 is the source of this 176-nucleotide regulatory RNA element. It matches the Rfam family "Lysine riboswitch aptamer". Rfam says of the family: Riboswitches are metabolite binding domains within certain messenger RNAs that serve as precision sensors for their corresponding targets. Allosteric rearrangement of mRNA structure is mediated by ligand binding, and this results in modulation of gene expression. The record is from Rfam. NCBI's taxonomy places the organism in Bacteria, Bacillati, Bacillota, Clostridia, Eubacteriales, Clostridiaceae.